UACAGAGGGGGCAAGCGUUGUUCGGAAUUACUGGGCGUAAAGGGCUCGUAGGUGGCCAACUAAGUCAUACGUGAAAUCCCUCGGCUUAACCGGGGAACUGCGCCUGAUACUGGUUGGCUUGAGUUUGGGAGAGGGACGCGGAAUUCCAGGUGUAGCGGUGAAAUGCGUAGAUAUCUGGAGGAACACCGGUGGCGAAGGCGGCGUCCUGGACCAAUACUGACACUGAGGAGCGAAAGCCAGGGGAGCAAACGGG
RNAcentral lists this ribosomal RNA (253 nucleotides) under uncultured bacterium. Its description in RNAcentral is "partial 16S ribosomal RNA". It matches the Rfam family "Bacterial small subunit ribosomal RNA", at positions 524 to 776 of the family's 1533-position model. The record is from RNAcentral.